UAGAGGCAGCGGAGACAGGAACGGAGCCAAGGCGGUGGAGGCGGGAGGGAAACCAGCCGGGUGU
This 64-nucleotide small RNA is filed under the name Myotis lucifugus (little brown bat). RNAcentral's name for it is "GRIK4 3 prime UTR element (ENSMLUG00000022137.2)". Lineage: Eukaryota; Metazoa; Chordata; Mammalia; Chiroptera; Vespertilionidae. The record is from RNAcentral.